RNAcentral lists this ribosomal RNA (411 nucleotides) under uncultured bacterium. RNAcentral describes it as "partial 16S ribosomal RNA". It matches the Rfam family "Bacterial small subunit ribosomal RNA", at positions 355 to 755 of the family's 1533-position model. The record is from RNAcentral.
UGGGGAAUUUUGGACAAUUGGGCGAAAGCCUGAUCCAGCAAUGCCGCGUGUGUGAAGAAGGCCUUCGGGUUGUAAAGCACUUUUUGUCCGGAAAGAAAUCCUUGGCUCUAAUACAGCCGGGGGAUGACGGUACCGGAAGAAUAAGCACCGGCUAACUACGUGCCAGCAGCCGCGGUAAUACGUAGGGUGCAAGCGUUAAUCGGAAUUACUGGGCGUAAAGCGUGCGCAGGCGGUUUGCUAAGACCGAUGUGAAAUCCCCGGGCUCAACCUGGGAACUGCAUUGGUGACUGGCAGGCUAGAGUAUGGCAGAGGGGGGUUAGAAUUCCACGUGUAGCAGUGAAAUGCGUAGAGAUGUGGAGGAAUACCGAUGGCGAAGGCAGCCCCCUGGCAAGUCACUGACGCUCAUGCACG